RNAcentral lists this ribosomal RNA (403 nucleotides) under bacterium. RNAcentral's name for it is "partial 16S ribosomal RNA". It matches the Rfam family "Bacterial small subunit ribosomal RNA", at positions 355 to 776 of the family's 1533-position model. The record is from RNAcentral.
UGGGGAAUAUUGCACAAUGGGGGAAACCCUGAUGCAGCGACGCCGCGUGAACGAAGAAGGUAUUCGUAUCGUAAAGUUCUGUCCUAUGGGAAGAUAAUGACAGUACCAUAGAAGAAAGCUGCGGCUAAAUACGUGCCAGCAGCCGCGGUAAUACGUAUGGAGCGAGCGUUGUCCGGAAUUAUUGGGCGUAAAGGGUACGCAGGCGGUUUAAUAAGUCGAAUGUUAAAGAUCGGGGCUCAACCCCGUAAAGCAUUGGAAACUGAUAAACUUGAGUAGUGGAGAGGAAAGUGGAAUUCCUAGUGUAGUGGUGAAAUACGUAGAUAUUAGGAGGAAUACCAGUAGCGAAGGCGACUUUCUGGACACAAACUGACGCUGAGGUACGAAAGCGUGGGGAGCAAACAGG